GACGAACGCUGGCGGCGUGCCUAACACAUGCAAGUCGAACGGGGUAAUUCCUUCGGGGAUUACUUAGUGGCGAACGGGUGAGUAACGCGUGAGAAACCUGCCUUUCAGUGGGGGACAACAGUUGGAAACGACUGCUAAUACCGCAUAACACUUUAGUACCGCAUGGUACAGAAGUCAAAGCUUAAUGUGCUGAGAGAUGGUCUCGCGUCUGAUUAGCUAGAUGGCGGGGUAACGGCCCACCAUGGCGACGAUCAGUAGCCGGUCUGAGAGGAUGAACGGCCACAUUGGGACUGAGAUACGGCCCAGACUCCUACGGGAGGCAGCAGUGGGGAAUAUUGGGCAAUGGGGGAAACCCUGACCCAGCAACGCCGCGUGAAGGAAGAA
Molecule: ribosomal RNA, 384 nt
Filed under: uncultured bacterium
Lineage: Bacteria
Description: bacterial SSU rRNA
Rfam family: Bacterial small subunit ribosomal RNA
Source: RNAcentral